Molecule: ribosomal RNA, 543 nt
Filed under: Vairimorpha ceranae
Lineage: Eukaryota; Fungi; Microsporidia; Nosematidae
Description: SSU rRNA
Rfam family: Microsporidia small subunit ribosomal RNA
Source: RNAcentral
CCAGGUUGAUUCUGCCUGACGUAGACGCUAUUCCCUAAGAUUAACCCAUGCAUGUUUUUGACAUUUGAAAAAUGGACUGCUCAGUAAUACUCACUUUAUUUUAUGUAAAUUUUUGAUUAAUUAACUACGUUAAAGUGUAGAUAAGAUGUUUACAGUAAGAGUGAGACCUAUCAGCUAGUUGUUAAGGUAAUGGCUUAACAAGGCUGUGACGGGUAACGGUAUUACUUUGUAAUAUUCCGGAGAAGGAGCCUGAGAGACGGCUACUAAGUCUAAGGAUUGCAGCAGGGGCGAAACUUGACCUAUGGAUUUUAUCUGAGGCAGUUAUGGGAAGUAAUAUUAUAUUGUUUCAUAUUUUAAAAGUAUAUGAGGUGAUUAAUUGGAGGGCAAAUCAAGUGCCAGCAGCCGCGGUAAUACUUGUUCCAAGAGUGUGUAUGAUGAUUGAUGCAGUUAAAAAGUCCGUAGUUUAUUUUUUUAAGAAGCAAUAUGAGGUGUACUGUAUAGUUGGGAGAAAGAUGAAAUGUGACGACCCUGACUGGACGAACA